RNAcentral lists this ribosomal RNA (1145 nucleotides) under Psylla alni. Its description in RNAcentral is "16S ribosomal RNA". The record is from RNAcentral. Lineage: Eukaryota; Metazoa; Arthropoda; Insecta; Hemiptera; Psyllidae.
GUUUUAUAGGGGAAAAAGUGAUUUCAAUUUCUUUUUUUAUACUUAGAGGGGAAGCUAUAGUAUAAAAUUAGUAAAAGAUUCAUUUAUUGUACCUUUUGUAUCAGGGUUAAUUUAUAUUUAAAUUUAAGAAUUUUUUCUCGAAAAUGAAAGAUUUAGGUAGUUAUUGUGUUAAUGUUUAAUUAUUAUGUUUAAUAAUUACCUAGUUUUGAAAAAAAUCCAGAUUUUUUUUAUCUAGUUACUUUUUGGUUAAUUAAAUUAAUUUUACUUAUGUUAAUUUUGUAUAAGUAAAUAAUAUUCUUAGGGAUAAGCUUGAGAUUGAAUAAUUUAGCUUUUUUUAAGAAAUAAUUUUAUAAGUUUAAGAUUAGCAAGUUUUUUAAUAUUUAAAAAUCAACUUAAUUUUUUUAAAAAUUUAAUAGUAGCUUUAAGGGGAAGUAAAGUUACUUUAUUUAAUUAAGAAAUUAAGAUAAUAAUGAUUAAAUUAGUAGAAGUAGAAAAAUAUAAAAUAAGAAUUCGGCAAAAAUAAUUUUUGACUGUUUAACAAAAACAUUUCUGGGAGAAAAAUGUUUUUAGUGUAACCUGCUCAAUGCUUUAGUAAAUAGCUGCAGUAUUUUGACUGUACAAAGGUAGCAUAAUCAUUAGUCUUUUGAUUGAAGGCUUGUAUGAAUGGUUGAACAGAAUAUUAACUUUUCUUUUAUAUGAUAUUUUAAUUUAUCGUUUAUGUAAAAAUGCAUAUAUAAUUGAAAGGGACGAUAAGACCCUAUAGAAUUUAAAAAUAAAAUAUGGAAUAUUUUCUUUUUUUGUUGGGGUGAUAAUGAAUAAACGUUUAUAAAAUUUUCAUUAAUAGAUGAUUAAGUGAUCCUAUUAAUUUAGAUACAAAGAUAAAAUUACCUUAGGGAUAACAGCAUAAUUUUUUUUAAAAGAUCAUAUUAAUAAAAAAGAUUAUGACCUCGAUGUUGAAUUAAAAUACAAGUUUGGUGUAGAAGCUAAAUUUUUUAGUCUGUUCGACUUUAUAUUUUACAUGAUUUGAGUUCAGACCGGCGUGAGCCAGGUUGGUUUCUAUCUUUUUAUUUAAGUUAUUGUUUAGUACGAAAGGACCAAUAAUAUUAAUUUUUAUUAUUUUUAUAGAAUAACAUAAUAUUAUUAGU